UACGUAGGGGGCGAGCGUUGUCCGGAUUUAUUGGGCGUAAAGAGCGUGUAGGCGGCCAGGUAGGUCCGUUGUGAAAACUCGAGGCUCAACCUCGAGACGUCGAUGGAAACCAUCUGGCUAGAGUCCGGAAGAGGAGAGUGGAAUUCCUGGUGUAGCGGUGAAAUGCGCAGAUAUCAGGAAGAACACCUAUGGCGAAGGCAGCUCUCUGGGCCGGUACUGACGCUGAGACGCGAAAGCGUGGGGAGCGAACAGG
This 253-nucleotide ribosomal RNA is filed under the name uncultured bacterium. RNAcentral's name for it is "partial 16S ribosomal RNA". It matches the Rfam family "Bacterial small subunit ribosomal RNA", at positions 524 to 776 of the family's 1533-position model. The record is from RNAcentral.